AUGAUCAUACUUCAUAGGAUCAAUUCUAUAGUAUGACUGCCGAGUUCCUUGUCCGAAACUCUGAAGAAAUCACACCGCGAUGAUGUAGCUAAGUGUGAGCCUCUGAGCGGGAAGCUGUUCAAGACUUAAGUCUUGGACAUUGAUGACCGUUCCCUCCUGUGUUAACGGGAGUGGAGGAGGCUCGCACAGGCUGAGCGGU
This 199-nucleotide small nucleolar RNA is filed under the name Procambarus clarkii (red swamp crayfish). RNAcentral describes it as "small nucleolar RNA U3". It matches the Rfam family "Small nucleolar RNA U3". From Rfam's summary of the family: Small nucleolar RNAs (snoRNAs) are involved in the processing and modification of rRNA in the nucleolus. There are two main classes of snoRNAs: the box C/D class, and the box H/ACA class. The record is from RNAcentral. Lineage: Eukaryota; Metazoa; Arthropoda; Malacostraca; Decapoda; Cambaridae.